RNAcentral lists this ribosomal RNA (88 nucleotides) under Petrotogaceae bacterium. Lineage: Bacteria; Thermotogati; Thermotogota; Thermotogae; Petrotogales; Petrotogaceae. The record is from RNAcentral.
CCAGUUCCAUCCCGAACCUGGCCGUUAAGCCGUCACGGGCCCAUGGUAGUACGUUGGCAACUUCGUGCGAGAGUAGGUAUCGCCCCUU